GUGCCUACAGAGCAGCUUCACAUCAGCACAUUUGUCAUUUUAUUACUGAAGCAGUUUUGAAGAGUUUCUCUUUUCAUAUUUGUGGACUGAAACUGCUGAAGAUGUUUUGGACUGUUUUGUUCUGUUUGUGUUUCUGGCAUCUGGAUGGUGUGUUUGGUGAUGAAGAGGAGUCAGUGAAGGAGGGAGAUUCACACACUCUUGUUAAAAUAUUAGU
Molecule: long non-coding RNA, 214 nt
Organism: Megalobrama amblycephala (Wuchang bream)
Lineage: Eukaryota; Metazoa; Chordata; Actinopteri; Cypriniformes; Xenocyprididae
Exons: 3
Source: RefSeq, a predicted model, not a curated record